RNAcentral lists this ribosomal RNA (982 nucleotides) under uncultured Halobacteria archaeon. RNAcentral's name for it is "bacterial SSU rRNA". It matches the Rfam family "Archaeal small subunit ribosomal RNA", at positions 340 to 1320 of the family's 1478-position model. Lineage: Archaea; Methanobacteriati; Methanobacteriota; Halobacteria. The record is from RNAcentral.
CGCGAAACCUUUACACUGCACGCCAGUGGAAUAAGGGGACCCCGAGUGCGAGGACAUACUAGUCCUCGCUUUUCUGUACCGUAGGAGGUACAGGAACAAGAGCUGGGCAAGACCGGUGCCAGCCGCCGCGGUAAUACCGGCAGCUCGAGUGAUGGCCGCUGUUAUUGGGCCUAAAGCGUCCGUAGCUGGCCACGCAAGUCCGUCGGGAAAUCCAUCGGCUCAACCGAUGGGCGUCCGGCGGAAACUGCGUGGCUUGGGACCGGAAGGCUCGAGGGGUACGUCCGGGGUAGGAGUGAAAUCCCGUAAUCCUGGACGGACCACCGAUGGCSGAAAGCACCUCGAGAAGACGGAUCCGACAGUAGGGACGAAAGCUGGGGUCUCGAACCGGAUUAGAUACCCGGGUAGUCCCAGCCGUAAACGAUGCCAGUUAGGUGUGGCACAGGCUACGAGCCUGUCUGUGCCGUAGGGAAGCCGUGAAACUGGCCGCCUGGGAAGUACGUCCGCAAGGAUGAAACUUAAAGGAAUUGGCGGGGGAGCACUACAACCGGAGGAGCUGCGGUUUAAUUGGACUCAACGCCGGACAUUUCACCAGCUCCGACUACAGUGAUGACGGUCAGGUUGAUGACCUCGCCACGACGCUGUAGAGAGGAGGUGCAUGGCCGCCGUCAGCUCGUACCGUGAGGCGUCCUGUUAAGUCAGGCAACGAGCGAGACCCGCACACUUAAUUGCCAGCAUCAGGUUUCCUGGAUGGGUACAUUAAGUGGACUGCCGCUGCUAAAGCGGAGGAAGGAACGGGCAACGGUAGGUCAGUAUGCCCCGAAUGAGCUGGGCUACACGCGGGCUACAAUGGCCAAGACAAUGGGUUCCAACCCCGAAAGAGGACGGUAAUCUCCGAAACUUGGUCGUAGUUCGGAUUGUGGGCUGAAACUCGCCCACAUGAAGCUGGAUUCGGUAGUAAUCGCGUUUCUGCAGAGCGCGGUGA